Molecule: ribosomal RNA, 497 nt
Filed under: uncultured bacterium
Lineage: Bacteria
Description: partial 16S ribosomal RNA
Rfam family: Bacterial small subunit ribosomal RNA
Source: RNAcentral
GAUGAACGCUGGCGGCGUGCCUAAUACAUGCAAGUCGAGCGAACAGACGAGGAGCUUGCUCCUCUGACGUUAGCGGCGGACGGGUGAGUAACACGUGGAUAACCUACCUAUAAGACUGGGAUAACUUCGGGAAACCGGAGCUAAUACCGGAUAAUAUAUUGAACCGCAUGGUUCAAUAGUGAAAGACGGUUUUGCUGUCACUUAUGGCUGGAUCCGCGCCGCAUUAGCUAGUUGGUAAGGUAACGGCUUACCAAGGCAACGAUGCGUAGCCGACCUGAGAGAGGGAUAGGCCACACUGGAACUGAGACACGGUCCAGACUCCUAAGGGAGGCAGCAGUAGGGAAUCUUCCGCAAUGGGCGAAAGCCUGACGGAGCAACGCCGCGUGAGUGAUGAAGGUCUUCGGAUCGUAAAACUCUGUUAUUAGGGAAGAACAAAUGUGUAAGUAACUAUGCACGUCUUGACGGUACCUAAUCAGAAAGCCACGGCUAACUACGUG